GUGAGGAAUAUUGCACAAUGGGCGAAAGCCUGAUGCAGCAACGCCGCGUGAGUGAUGAAGGCCUUUGGGUCGUAAAACUCUGUCCUUGGGGAAGAAAAAAAUGACGGUACCCUUGGAGGAAGCCCCGGCUAACUACGUGCCAGCAGCCGCGGUAAUACGUAGGGGGCAAGCGUUAUCCGGAAUUAUUGGGCGUAAAGAGUGCGUAGGUGGUUUUGUAAGCGUAGGGUGAGAGGCAGCAGCUCAACUAUUGUUAGCCCUGCGAACUGUGAGACUUGAGUGCAGGAGAGGAAAGUGGAACUCCUAGUGUAGCGGUGAAAUGCGUAGAUAUUAGGAGGAACACCAGUGGCGAAGGCGACUUUCUGGACUGUAACUGACACUGAGGCACGAAAGCGUGGGUAGCAAACAGGAUUAGAUACCCCAGUAGUCC
RNAcentral lists this ribosomal RNA (427 nucleotides) under uncultured bacterium. RNAcentral describes it as "partial 16S ribosomal RNA". It matches the Rfam family "Bacterial small subunit ribosomal RNA", at positions 354 to 796 of the family's 1533-position model. The record is from RNAcentral.